This is a long non-coding RNA of Pan troglodytes (chimpanzee), 757 nucleotides long. RefSeq lists it as uncharacterized. The record is from RefSeq and is a predicted model, not a curated record. Lineage: Eukaryota; Metazoa; Chordata; Mammalia; Primates; Hominidae. The transcript is spliced from 5 exons.
AUACAACCCUCCCAUCACAGUCAGACGGGCACAAAACUUCAACCAGCCGUUUCUCUGCCUGGAAGCGGCGAACAUGUAACCUGGACGGGAGGCUGGAUGGGGACACAUACCAUGAGUGACAUCUUACCAGAGGGUGGCCAUGAACUUCAUCAUGUUCCACAACUGUUAAUGACCACUGGCGCUGGCCCUGCUGCUCUCUGAACUCCUCUCUAUGGAACUGUGCCCCUUCUCUGGGAAGAGUCCUUGAAGCUCUACUGAGAAUGAAACCUCUUCUUUCAGCUCAUGUCAAUCUUGAAUCUUGCUCUGUUGCCCAGGCUGGAGUGCAGUGGUGUGAUCUCGGCUCACUACAACCUCCAUCUCCAGGAUUCAAGCGAUUCUCCUGCCUCUCAGCCUCCUGAGUAGCUGGGAUUACAGAGGCAGUGACUGGAGGGCUGGCAUUUGGUUUAAACGAUCGUAACCACCACCAUCAUGGCAAGGGAGCAGGACAGAGCAAGUGCGGCAGGAUCUUGGAAGUUCCGAAUCUGGCUGUCAGGGCAGAAGAGUGAACGGGCAUCGUAUACAUAAACAUCAUACGAUCCACAGAGGGCUGGCCAGCCCGAGUUCUUAAUCCUGGCUCCAUCACUGACAAUUUGCAACCCGGAGAAGUCACUCUCUCUGUGUUUUCUGUCUCUAAAGUAAAUAAAGGAUAACACACUUUAAAAAUCAAUUGGUGUUCUGAACAAAAAUGAUGGGUGUGUGAAAUGAGGACAACUCUAAG